This 365-nucleotide long non-coding RNA is filed under the name Nicotiana benthamiana. Its description in RNAcentral is "long non-coding RNA (NBEN_LNC017142)". The record is from RNAcentral. Lineage: Eukaryota; Viridiplantae; Streptophyta; Magnoliopsida; Solanales; Solanaceae.
UUUUGCCCUCCUCUUGUGAGCCUUGCCUUAGGACCUUGAGUUCCCUUUGAACUUGGACACUUGAGGGUUAGCCUUUCCACAAUGCACCUGUCCUAAUCUGAUAAUGUAUUUGGGUGUGAGCAUUGCGUGGAAUCCCCUUUGAGGCUCUUAGGGAACUUUGAUACAUCCAAAUUGGAGAAAGGCUUUGGAUCAUGGUCUCUUGAAGUUAGUUUACCUUAUAUUUUAGAUAUGAAGUCUAAAUCAAGCUUUCUUUGGCUGUAAUUUUAAUUUAAUGUAUUUUUUUAACUUUAUUUUUGGCUAUAAUAAUUUGUAAUAAACUCUAGGGAUGGAUAGUGAAAAAGGGCAGGUAACUAUGUAUGCAAAAG